Molecule: long non-coding RNA, 558 nt
Organism: Eriocheir sinensis (Chinese mitten crab)
Lineage: Eukaryota; Metazoa; Arthropoda; Malacostraca; Decapoda; Varunidae
Exons: 2
Source: RefSeq, a predicted model, not a curated record
GUAGCCCUCCAUGCUAGGGGUUUUACCAUAACUGGUAUUGCCCGUCAGCUUGGUAUUCACCGGAACACAGCAGCACGGUGGAUUCGGCGGCACGGAGACACUGGUGCUACAGAGGACAUGCCACGAGUCGGGCGCCCACGCUGCACCUCCGCAGCCGAAGACCAGGCCAUAAAUAACGCCAUCGAUGAGGACCCAUUCACACCUGCUGUCAACAUUCGCCGUGACCAGGGUCUGCAGUGCAGCACUCAGACCAUUCGGAACAGGCUUCACAACAGGAAUUUCCGAGGUCGGAGGCCAGCCACAAAGCAGAAACUAAGCGAGCGUAACAUGGAGCAGCGCAUGGAGUAUGCGCUCGAGUAUGCUGACAUGCCAGCAGACUUUGGGAGAAUGUAGUCUUUCUGAUGAAAAGACUUUCUACUCAGAUGGCACAUCAGCAGCACAAUAUGUUUGGCGGAAAUGUGGCACCAGGUUAGUCUCUCUCUCUCUCUCUCUCUCUCUCUCUCUCUCUCUCUCUCUCUCUCUCUCUCUCUCUCUCUCUCUCUCUCUCUCUCUCUCUCU